GCACCGAAGUGCUGGAAGCCGAAGAAUUCUUCUCCGAAGGCCAGAAGGGUUCGUCGGCGAUGCCGCACAAGCGCAACCCGGUGCUGACGGAAAACCUCACCGGCCUCGCGCGCAUCGUUCGCUCCGCCGUGACACCCGCGCUGGAGAAUGUCGUGCUCUGGCAUGAGCGCGACAUCUCGCACUCGUCUGUCGAGCGCAUGAUCGGUCCCGACGCCACGGUGACGCUGGACUUCGCGCUCAACCGCCUCGCCGGCGUUGUCGAAAAGC
This 267-nucleotide unclassified non-coding RNA is filed under the name Hevea brasiliensis (rubber tree). Lineage: Eukaryota; Viridiplantae; Streptophyta; Magnoliopsida; Malpighiales; Euphorbiaceae. The record is from RNAcentral.